RNAcentral lists this ribosomal RNA (494 nucleotides) under uncultured bacterium. RNAcentral's name for it is "partial 16S ribosomal RNA". It matches the Rfam family "Bacterial small subunit ribosomal RNA", at positions 28 to 507 of the family's 1533-position model. The record is from RNAcentral.
GACGAACGCUGGCGGCGUGCUUAACACAUGCAAGUCGAACGGAAAGGCCUGCUUUCCCUUGUGGAUUGCGGGUACUCGAGUGGCGAACGGGUGAGUAACACGUGAGUGAUCUGCCCCCAACUUGGGUAUAAGCCUGGGAAACUGGGUCUAAUUCCCGAUAGGACUGCAGGGUGGUGCCUGUGGUGGAAAACGAUUUUCUAGUGGUAGGGGAUGAGCUCGCGGCCUAUCAGCUUGUUGGUGGGGUAAUGGCCUACCAAGGCGGCGACGGGUAGCCGGCCUGGGAGGGUGGACGGCGACAUUGAGACUGGGAUACGGCCCAGACUCCUACGGGAGGCAGCAGUGGGGAAGAAUGGACAAUGGGCGGAAGCCUGAUGCAGCGACGCCGCGUGGGGGAUGACGGCCUUCGGGUUGUAAACUCCUUUCGACCGCGAGGAAGCCACCUGGUUGGAAGGGUGGUGACGGUAGUGGUAGAAGAAGCACCGGCUAACUACGUG